This is a long non-coding RNA of Oryctolagus cuniculus (rabbit), 1637 nucleotides long. The record is from Ensembl. Lineage: Eukaryota; Metazoa; Chordata; Mammalia; Lagomorpha; Leporidae.
AUGCUUUGUCAUUGGACCUGGAGCCUGCCCAUGCCCCAGUUGCAUGGUCUCUGGGUUCAAGCCAAGGCACUUGGACCCAGUGGCACUGCUGGCUGGCUAGAGUCACUGAAAUGGCUCAUCUGGCAUGGAUUUUAUGCUCCUAUCGCUGUUGGGUAUGCUUUUUACAACCCCAGAAGCCAGGUGUUCGCCCAUCCCACCCGUCUGAUGGGCAGACAUCCUGUGGCAAGUCCACUAGAGAAACUCUUCAUGAUCUACCCCACUGGCUGUCCUCUCUGUUCCAGAAGUGGUUGUGCCUCUCCACUGUGGCCCUGUGUAUUUAGAAAAGCAAAGCACAUAAAAUAUUUAUGCUUUUCUGAGUAAAUAAGAGUUGCACUUUUGGAAUGAGGAACCCAGCGUAAAGUGAAACAGUGUACGUGUAACACACAUGCACACACAGCUUGCUUCUUUAUCAACUUCAAGAACAAAAGGUAUUUUUCUCACUUAAUUUGGCACAGGAAGAAAACUUUAAUAUGAUUUUAUUUCCUUUCUCCCACAUUUUCUAUUCCAUCUCUCCCUUUCUUAUAUUUUCUUGAAUUUGUUCAUAUAGUUGGUCUUUAUUUAUUAAAAUUAUUUGGAAGGUGUAAAAUACUGUUUCAGUACUAGUUAUAGCAUUACUUCACAUUGGACAACACACUAAGGACAGAUCCCACAUGAGAAGUAAGUACACAGUGACUCCUGUUGUUGACUUAACAAUUUGACACUCUUGUUUAUGGCGUCAGUAAUCUCCCUAGGCUCUAGUCAUGAGUUGCCGAGACUAUGGAAGCCUUUUGAGUUCAUCGACUUCGAUCUUAUUCCAACAGGGUCAUAUUCAAAGUGGAAGUUCUCUCCUCCCUUCAGAGAAAGGUACCACCUUCUUUGAUGGCCCUGUUCUUUCCACUGGGAUCUCACUCGCAGAGAUCUUCCAUUUAGGUCUUCUUCUUCUUUUUUUUUUUUUUUCCCAGGGUGUCUUGGCUUUCCAUGCCUAAAAUACUCUCAUGGGCUCUUCAGCCAGAUCCGAAUGCCUUAAGGGCUGAUUCUGAGGCCAGAGUGCUAUUUAGGACAUCUGCCAUUCUGUGAGUCUACUGUGUAUCCUGCUUCCCAUGAUGGAUUGUUCUCUCCCUUUUUGAUUCUAUCAGCUAGUAUUAACAGACACUAGACUUGUUUGUGUGAACUCUUUGACUCUUAGACCUAUCAGUGUGAUCAAUUGUGAACUGAAAUUGAUCACUUGGACUAAUGAGAUGGCAUUGGUACAUGCCACCUUGAUGGGAUCGUAUUGGGAUCCCCUGGCAUGAUUCUAACUCCACCAUUUGGGGCAAGUCUGAUUGAGCAUGUCAAUCUCAAUUGUACAUCUCCUCCCUCUCUUAUUCCCACUCUUAUAUUUAACAGGGAUCACUUUUCAGUUAAAAUUUAAACACCUAAGAAUAAUUGUGUGUUAAUCACAGAGUUCAACCAAUAGUACUAGAACAAACCAAAGAGAAAAUACUAAAAUGGAUAAAAUAUUUGUGUUUCUGUGUGCGUGCAAACUGAUGAAAUCUUUACUUAAUAUAUACUGAAUUGAUCUUCUGUAUAUAAAGAUAAUUGAAAAUAAAUCUUGAUGUGAAUGGAAUGGGAGAGGGAGU